UACAGAGGUCUCGAGCGUUAGGCGGAAUCACUGGGCUUAAAGCGUGUGUAGGUGGUUCGUUAAGUACCUUGUGAAAUCCCACGGCUUAACCGUGGAACUGCUUGGUAUACUGGCGGUCUUGAGCCAGCUAGGGGCUACCGGAACAAAUGGUGGAGCGGUGAAAUGCGUAGAUAUCAGGAGGAACACCGGUGGCGAAGGCGGGUCUCUGGGCAGUAACUGACGCUGAGGAGCGAAAGCGUGGGGAGCGAACAGG
This 253-nucleotide ribosomal RNA is filed under the name uncultured bacterium. Its description in RNAcentral is "partial 16S ribosomal RNA". It matches the Rfam family "Bacterial small subunit ribosomal RNA", at positions 524 to 776 of the family's 1533-position model. The record is from RNAcentral.